AUUAACCAACCUUCAAAAUAAUCUGUAGUAUGAUACAAACCCAGCUAAUCGAAAAUUACUUGACAUGACGUUACAACUAAAUAAGUUAUAUUUAUGAACAUGAGUUCAGUUCGUACACUAUUGAUAGCACAUACUAUUCACUUUUUCACUAUUAGAUUAUUACUGUUACACCAACCACCCACUCAAUUCUAAGCAUCUAAUGAUGACAGCGUGAGUAGUAUCGUACCAUUAAUAGCACUCCAACGUAGCUCUAUGAGCAUUUAUCUUAACUUGA
Molecule: long non-coding RNA, 274 nt
Filed under: Ananas comosus (pineapple)
Lineage: Eukaryota; Viridiplantae; Streptophyta; Magnoliopsida; Poales; Bromeliaceae
Description: long non-coding RNA (ACOM_LNC003338)
Source: RNAcentral